RNAcentral lists this small RNA (106 nucleotides) under Mycobacterium sp. RNAcentral describes it as "Guanidine-I sequence". It matches the Rfam family "Guanidine-I riboswitch aptamer". Rfam says of the family: This family represents a conserved RNA structure found upstream of the ykkC and yxkD genes in Bacillus subtilis and related genes in other bacteria. The function of this family is unclear although it has been suggested that it may function to switch on efflux pumps and detoxification systems in response to harmful environmental molecules. Nelson showed that this riboswitch senses and responds to guanidine and it was renamed Guanidine-I riboswitch. Lineage: Bacteria; Bacillati; Actinomycetota; Actinomycetes; Mycobacteriales; Mycobacteriaceae. The record is from RNAcentral.
GUGAGGCGCGUCUAGGGUUCCGCCGCAUCCGCGGGUCUGGUCCGAGAGACGCAGACGACCGGCACCGUCGCCAGUCGUUCCACGGCGGGGGAAAAGCCCGGGAGAC